GGCUCGGUGGUGGAUGGUCCACAUCUGUCUCCCGUAGAGGAACAUGACUGUAAGCAGAGAAGCCUGUUCAAAUCAGGCCCGAGCCA
This is a non-coding RNA of Mycena alexandri, 86 nucleotides long. The record is from the annotation of a GenBank genome assembly. NCBI's taxonomy places the organism in Eukaryota, Fungi, Basidiomycota, Agaricomycetes, Agaricales, Mycenaceae.